UACUACUAAAUUAAACUUUACAAGUAUACAUAUAUAUAUAUAUAUAAGCAUAUAUAUAUAUAUAUAUAUAUAUAUAUAUAUAUAAGCACAUUCCAAUAGUUUAAUCCCCAUUAAAAAAAAAAUACAGCUAUAGUAGUAGAAAAUUCUCUGACUUAAUUUUCUGUUCAAUAUUCUUGUUCUAAUUAUAGAUAGUUGAAAAAAUGGAGGUGGGUGGCUAUAAUUAUGAUUAUGGUGCGUCGGAAGAGGGCUGCAGAACGCCGGAACGCGGUAGUUGUCAAAUUCCAGCAGCCUCGGCUUGUCCACCGGCGCCGAGGAAGAAAGCAGCUGCUUACCGGAAACAGAGGAUAGAGCCGAAAAAUGGGUAUUUUCAACCACCUGAUCUCGAGAUUUUCUUCGCAAAGGCACAUAGGAGGGAAGCUUAUGAUUGCUUGUAAUAGUUAGAGAACAAAAUCGGAUUAGUAUUUAUAUGUAUAUCAAGUUUUCUCUAAAUCUUGUACUUAUGGUAGUAGUAGAUGUAAUUCUAUGGAUACCAAAGAAUUCUUAUUCUCUUCUAAAAGGCAAUCGAUUUUUUCUAGAACUAUAUAUGGAGUAUUGUAUUGCUACUACUACAUGGGAAUUAACUGCUCUGUGAUAAUUAAGUUACCAUCAACAUAUCCAGUUAAUCAUUCACGACCCAAACAAAAUAAGUUAGAUUGUUCAAGAUGAUUUUCCCUUACUUGGUUUCUUUUAUCCAAGUUGCCCCUCCAACUUGUGGGAGAAUAUUAAACAUAAAGUACUCAACAACAACUGAUUCAGCUCAAGAUUCAGGCAAUUGAUGUAUCUUCUGUAUAUAAUACAUAAACAACAUAUAUAUAUAUCCAAACCAAUUGCAG
This 872-nucleotide long non-coding RNA is filed under the name Panax ginseng (ginseng). Its description in RNAcentral is "long non-coding RNA (PGIN_LNC006752)". Lineage: Eukaryota; Viridiplantae; Streptophyta; Magnoliopsida; Apiales; Araliaceae. The record is from RNAcentral.